UAGCUCAGUUGGUAGAGCAGUUGACUUUUAAUCAAUUGGUCGCAGGUUCGAAUCCUU
RNAcentral lists this transfer RNA (57 nucleotides) under Salmonella enterica subsp. enterica serovar Enteritidis. RNAcentral describes it as "tRNA-Lys". It matches the Rfam family "tRNA", at positions 8 to 62 of the family's 71-position model. From Rfam's summary of the family: Transfer RNA (tRNA) molecules are approximately 80 nucleotides in length. Their secondary structure includes four short double-helical elements and three loops (D, anti-codon, and T loops). Further hydrogen bonds mediate the characteristic L-shaped molecular structure. tRNAs have two regions of fundamental functional importance: the anti-codon, which is responsible for specific mRNA codon recognition, and the 3' end, to which the tRNAs corresponding amino acid is attached (by aminoacyl-tRNA synthetases). tRNAs cope with the degeneracy of the genetic code in two manners: having more than one tRNA (with a specific anti-codon) for a particular amino acid; and 'wobble' base-pairing, i.e. permitting non-standard base-pairing at the 3rd anti-codon position. Lineage: Bacteria; Pseudomonadati; Pseudomonadota; Gammaproteobacteria; Enterobacterales; Enterobacteriaceae. The record is from RNAcentral.